Molecule: unclassified non-coding RNA, 362 nt
Filed under: plant metagenome
Description: partial contains small subunit ribosomal RNA and internal transcribed spacer 1
Rfam family: Eukaryotic small subunit ribosomal RNA (bases 1-46)
Source: RNAcentral
AAGUCGUAACAAGGUUUCCGUAGGUGAACCUGCGGAAGGAUCAUUAGAUUGAAUUAUCAUUGUUGCUCGAGUUCUUGUUUAGAUCUUUUACAAUAAUGUGUAUCUUUACUGAAGAUGUGCGCUUAAUUGCGCUGCUUCUUUAGAGUGUCGCAGUGAAAGUAGUCUUGCUUGAAUCUCAGUCAACGCUACACACAUUGGAGUUUUUUUAACUUUAAUUUAAUUCUUUCUGCUUUGAAUCGAAAGGUUCAAGGCAAAAAAAUCAAACACAAAACAAUUUUAUUUUUAAUUUAUAAAUUUUUUUUGAAAAUCUAAAAUCCAAAAAACUUCCUAACGGAAAAUUUUUGAAAAACUAAUUUAAAAAU